This 72-nucleotide transfer RNA is filed under the name Podarcis lilfordi (Lilford's wall lizard). It matches the Rfam family "tRNA". Rfam says of the family: Transfer RNA (tRNA) molecules are approximately 80 nucleotides in length. The record is from Rfam by way of RNAcentral. Lineage: Eukaryota; Metazoa; Chordata; Lepidosauria; Squamata; Lacertidae.
AGAGAUGUAGCUCAGUGGCAGAGCAACUGCUUUGCAUGCAGAAGGUCUCAGGUUCAAUCCCCGGCAUCUCCA